GAUGAACGCUGGCGGCGUGCCUAAUACAUGCAAGUCGAGCGAACGGACGAGAAGCUUGCUUCUCUGAUGUUAGCGGCGGACGGGUGAGUAACACGUGGAUAACCUACCUAUAAGACUGGGAUAACUUCGGGAAACCGGAGCUAAUACCGGAUAAUAUUUUGAACCGCAUGGUUCAAAAGUGAAAGACGGUCUUGCUGUCACUUAUAGAUGGAUCCGCGCUGCAUUAGCUAGUUGGUAAGGUAACGGCUUACCAAGGCAACGAUGCAUAGCCGACCUGAGAGGGUGAUCGGCCACACUGGAACUGAGACACGGUCCAGACUCCUACGGGAGGCAGCAGUAGGGAAUCUUCCGCAAUGGGCGAAAGCCUGACGGAGCAACGCCGCGUGAGUGAUGAAGGUCUUCGGAUCGUAAAACUCUGUUAUUAGGGAAGAACAUAUGUGUAAGUAACUGUGCACAUCUUGACGGUACCUAAUCAGAAAGCCACGGCUAACUACGUGCCAGCAGCCGCGGUAAUACGUAGGUGGCAAGCGUUAUCCGGAAUUAUUGGGCGUAAAGCGCGCGUAGGCGGUUUUUUAAGUCUGAUGUGAAAGCCCACGGCUCAACCGUGGAGGGUCAUUGGAAACUGGAAAACUCGAGUGCAGAAGAGGAAAGUGGAAUUCCAUGUGUAGCGGUGAAAUGCGCAGAGAUAUGGAGGAACACCAGUGGCGAAGGCGACUUUCUGGUCUGUAACUGACGCUGAUGUGCGAAAGCGUGGGGAUCAAACAGGAUUAGAUACCCUGGUAGUCCACGCCGUAAACGAUGAGUGCUAAGUGUUAGGGGGUUUCCGCCCCUUAGUGCUGCAGCUAACGCAUUAAGCACUCCGCCUGGGGAGUACGACCGCAAGGUUGAAACUCAAAGGAAUUGACGGGGACCCGCACAAGCGGUGGAGCAUGUGGUUUAAUUCGAAGCAACGCGAAGAACCUUACCAAAUCUUGACAUCCUUUGACAACUCUAGAGAUAGAGCCUUCCCCUUCGGGGGACAAAGUGACAGGUGGUGCAUGGUUGUCGUCAGCUCGUGUCGUGAGAUGUUGGGUUAAGUCCCGCAACGAGCGCAACCCUUAAGCUUAGUUGCCAUCAUUAAGUUGGGCACUCUAAGUUGACUGCCGGUGACAAACCGGAGGAAGGUGGGGAUGACGUCAAAUCAUCAUGCCCCUUAUGAUUUGGGCUACACACGUGCUACAAUGGACAAUACAAAGGGCAGCGAAACCGCGAGGUCAAGCAAAUCCCAUAAAGUUGUUCUCAGUUCGGAUUGUAGUCUGCAACUCGACUACAUGAAGCUGGAAUCGCUAGUAAUCGUAGAUCAGCAUGCUACGGUGAAUACGUUCCCGGGUCU
This 1372-nucleotide ribosomal RNA is filed under the name uncultured bacterium. RNAcentral describes it as "bacterial SSU rRNA". It matches the Rfam family "Bacterial small subunit ribosomal RNA", at positions 28 to 1381 of the family's 1533-position model. The record is from RNAcentral.